RNAcentral lists this ribosomal RNA (484 nucleotides) under uncultured bacterium. RNAcentral's name for it is "partial 16S ribosomal RNA". It matches the Rfam family "Bacterial small subunit ribosomal RNA", at positions 29 to 507 of the family's 1533-position model. The record is from RNAcentral.
AUUGAACGCUGGCGGCAUGCUUUACACAUGCAAGUCGAACGGCAGCGCGGGCUUCGGCCUGGCGGCGAGUGGCGAACGGGUGAGUAAUACAUCGGAACGUGCCCAGUAGUGGGGGAUAGCUCGGCGAAAGCCGGAUUAAUACCGCAUACGACCUGAGGGUGAAAGCGGGGGAUCUUCGGACCUCGCGCUAUUGGAGCGGCCGGUGGCCGAUUAGCUAGUUGGUGGGGUAAAGGCCUACCAAGGCGACGAUCUGUAGCUGGUCUGAGAGGACGACCAGCCACACUGGGACUGAGACACGGCCCAGACUCCUACGGGAGGCAGCAGUGGGGAAUUUUGGACAAUGGGCGAAAGCCUGAUCCAGCAAUGCCGCGUGUGUGAUGAAGGCCUUCGGGCUGUAAAGCACUUUUGGCGGGAACGAAAAGGACUGUGCCAAUACCACGGUUCGAUGACGGUACCCGCAGAAUAAGCACCGGCUAACUACGUG